UGCGCCUUAGCCCACGCUGGCGGCGGGCCAUGCCGAAGGACGCCGUGGUCAUCGUGCGCUACGGGCCGUACAGCGCGGUCGGGCUGCCUGUGGAGUACCACCGCUUCCGCCUAGAGGGCCUGCAAGGUACCAAGGACUCACUGGUGAACAAAGAUACAUGUCCUUAAAGUGACCUUCUCAUUGCUGACUACUAGUUGACAGUGGUGCCAGGCCUCCAACAGAAGAACCUGUGUUGGCCAGAGAUGGACACAAAGUCAUCCUAGAGAAGAUAGAAGACUGGAAUGUGGUUGAACUCAUGGUAAAUGAAGAAAUCAUUUUCCACUGUAACAUCAAAGAUUUGGAGUUUGGAGGUGAUGGCAAACUAGACCCGCUGUGUGAAGAGGCCAGGAUAGCUGUCCUAAAUGCCUACUGAUCUCAUCCAAACAGGCAUCUGAAGUCAACAGAACAGCAGCUGCCUCUGGCCCUUCUGUGCAGCAAACAAAAGCAGCCACUCCAGGCCAUGGAUGCUGGGCUCUAGCAAUCAAAGGUAAUGCCAGCCCGUCCUUCAGCCUGCUCAGCAUAGUGUCUCUCACCUGGCUGCAAGGAAACAGGGCCCACAAAAAUAAUAAAAGUACAUCAUCUGCA
Molecule: RNA transcript, 624 nt
Organism: Canis lupus familiaris (dog)
Lineage: Eukaryota; Metazoa; Chordata; Mammalia; Carnivora; Canidae
Gene: C28H10orf53
Gene name: chromosome 28 C10orf53 homolog
Exons: 4
Source: RefSeq, a predicted model, not a curated record